Stegodyphus mimosarum is the source of this 47-nucleotide non-coding RNA. NCBI's taxonomy places the organism in Eukaryota, Metazoa, Arthropoda, Arachnida, Araneae, Eresidae. The record is from Rfam.
CGAUAGGUUCUUUUCAGAACCACAUCAGCGCAUCCUUCUGGUAAUGU